ACCAAAAGCAAGUUUGGAGACGUACCCUAACGGUGCCGGGGCUUCUCCCGUUU
This 53-nucleotide transfer RNA is filed under the name Crossobamon orientalis. RNAcentral's name for it is "partial tRNA-Cys". The record is from RNAcentral. Lineage: Eukaryota; Metazoa; Chordata; Lepidosauria; Squamata; Gekkonidae.